AGGCAUACGAGUUUUGUUAGUGGUACACUAAAAAAUGGAAGUGCAUUUGAUGAUAGACCAGUUACAUUCAGAGGGAGGGAUCCAAAUGUAUUGAAAUUUAAUCUAUUUCCUCAAAUAUACCAUAAUCUGCAUGGUCUAAGGCUCAUCCAACCUCUAUUUCAUGAGUUUGUUCCGGGUUCAUUUUCUCGUGAUGCAACACAUCUCCAAGCCUCCCUUCAAACUUCCACUGAUGGACUAAUCAACACCACGCUGUACGUCAACUACCUCUCUGCCUAUCUUGUUGAGAUUGAACA
RNAcentral lists this unclassified non-coding RNA (293 nucleotides) under Hevea brasiliensis (rubber tree). Lineage: Eukaryota; Viridiplantae; Streptophyta; Magnoliopsida; Malpighiales; Euphorbiaceae. The record is from RNAcentral.